This 459-nucleotide ribosomal RNA is filed under the name uncultured Treponema sp. RNAcentral describes it as "bacterial SSU rRNA". It matches the Rfam family "Bacterial small subunit ribosomal RNA", at positions 341 to 792 of the family's 1533-position model. Lineage: Bacteria; Pseudomonadati; Spirochaetota; Spirochaetia; Treponematales; Treponemataceae. The record is from RNAcentral.
ACGGAAGGCAGCAGCUAAGAAUAUUCCGCAAUGGGCGAAAGCCUGACGGAGCGACGCCGCGUGGAUGAUGAAGGCCGGAAGGUUGUAAAGUCCUUUUGUGGCUGAGGAAUAAGCUUCCCAGGAAAUGGGGGAGCGGUGACUGUAGGCCAUGAAUAAGCACCGGCUAAUUACGUGCCAGCAGCCGCGGUAACACGUAAGGUGCAAGCGUUGUUCGGAAUUAUUGGGCGUAAAGGGCAUGUAGGCGGCCCGUCAAGUCCCGCGUGAAAUUCCGGAGCUCAACUCCGGAGCUGCGCGGGAAACUGGUGGGCUUGAGUCAGCGAGGCGGAACCGGAAUUCCUGGUGUAGGGGUGAAAUCUGUAGAUAUCAGGAAGAACACCGGUGGCGAAGGCAGGUUUCGAGCGCAUGACUGACGCUGAGGUGCGAAGGUGCGGGGAGCAAACAGGAUUAGAUACCCUGGUA